RNAcentral lists this ribosomal RNA (138 nucleotides) under uncultured eukaryote. RNAcentral describes it as "partial 18S ribosomal RNA". It matches the Rfam family "Eukaryotic small subunit ribosomal RNA", at positions 1299 to 1458 of the family's 1831-position model. The record is from RNAcentral.
UGGUGGAGCGAUUUGUCUGGUUAAUUCCGAUAACGAACGAGACUCUGGCCUAUUAAAUAGUUCGCCGAUUCCGAUCUGUCGGCGUUAACUUCCUAGAGGGACAAGUGGCUUUUAGCCACGCGAGAUUGAGCAAUAACA